UUAUGCUGGCUACACACGUGCUACAAUGGACAGAACAAAGGGCUUGAGACCGCAAGGUUUAGCCAAUCCCACAAAUCUGUUCUCAGUUCGGAUCGCAGUCUGCAACUCGACUGCGUGAAGCUGGAAUCGCUAGUAAUCGCGGAUCAGCAUGCCGCGGUGAAUACGUUCCCGGGCCUUGUACACACCGCCCGUCACACCACGAGAGUUUGCAACACCCGAAGUCGGUGAGGUAACCUUUAUGGAGCCAGCCGCCGAAGGUGGGCAGAUGAUUUGGGGG
Molecule: ribosomal RNA, 277 nt
Filed under: Bacillus pumilus
Lineage: Bacteria; Bacillati; Bacillota; Bacilli; Caryophanales; Bacillaceae
Description: partial 16S ribosomal RNA
Rfam family: Bacterial small subunit ribosomal RNA
Source: RNAcentral